UGGGGAAUCUUGCGCAAUGCGCGAAAGCGUGACGCAGCAACGCCGCGUGGGGGAAGAAGGCCUUCGGGUUGUAAACCCCUUUCAGUUGGGACGAAGCUUCGUCGGUGAAUAGCCGGCCGGAGUGACGGUACCUUCAGAAGAAGCCCCGGCUAACUACGUGCCAGCAGCCACGGUAAUACGUAGGGGGCAAGCGUUGUCCGGAAUCAUUGGGCGUAAAGAGCGUGUAGGCGGCUCGGUAAGUCCGCUGUGAAAGUCCAGGGCUCAACCCUGGAAUGCCGGUGGAAACUGUCGAGCUCGAGUCCGGAAGAGGCGAGUGGAAUUCCUGGUGUAGCGGUGAAAUGCGCAGAUAUCAGGAGGAACACCAAUGGCGAAGGCAGCUCGCUGGGACGGUACUGACGCUGAGACGCGAAAGCGUGGGGAGCAAAC
This 426-nucleotide ribosomal RNA is filed under the name uncultured bacterium. RNAcentral describes it as "bacterial SSU rRNA". It matches the Rfam family "Bacterial small subunit ribosomal RNA", at positions 355 to 773 of the family's 1533-position model. The record is from RNAcentral.